Molecule: long non-coding RNA, 1549 nt
Organism: Myotis brandtii (Brandt's bat)
Lineage: Eukaryota; Metazoa; Chordata; Mammalia; Chiroptera; Vespertilionidae
Exons: 2
Source: RefSeq, a predicted model, not a curated record
UAUUUUCUUCUAACAACACUCAUCACCACCUGAUAUAUGCUUGGCACAUCAAACAAACGUGGAAUGAAUUCCCAAUAUGCCCUACAUUCCACACUCUUCUCAAUGGCCCCCAUCCUGCUGCUUGACAAAAAUCAUACUUCUCCUUCAAAGCUUAGUUCAGAUGGGACUAUUCCUGAUUAUUCCCUCCUUUGCGCCCCCACAAACUUUCACUCUACCUCUAGUAUAGCAUUUGUUACUUUCUGUUUGUGUACAUGCCCUUUCUCUUUAUUAGGCUGAAAGCUCUCUGGGGACCCAGACUGAUUUAUUACUACCUGUUUACUUUAUGGGGCUAAGCACAUGGCAGAUAAUAAAUGUACACUGAAUUGAAUUCUUGGGCUCAUGGUAGUACAUUUGAUAUAGUUAAGUCUCAAAAUAAAAAUUCUUACAAAUUAUACUUCCUUACAAUUUAAAAUCUAGUCUUAUAUAUGAUCUUGGUUUCUAUUUGCAUCACAGACUUAACUGAAUCAUUUCACUGUUUCAUCUUCUGUAGAUGUCUUUUCAGGAGAGCAACGAGUUUUUGAAUGCUCAAGUAUCUUUCUACAAAUACCCGUUGUUUUGUUUAAUUAAUUCAGCCAAUUUAGAAAUGUUCUCUUGUAGUGUCUACUUCAUAGCAUUAUAGAAUUUUAGAAUUCAAAGGAACUUUAAACAUCUUAAGUUCAAACAUGCAAUCACUGCUUAAAUGGAUGUCCAUUUUAUGCUUGCAUCUGUCCAGGGACUGAGACUUCCCACCAGUAAGAAGGCCAGUAUGCCCAUGUCAAUCCAAGUACUUCCCCUCCCUUGUACUGGGAGACAUCCAGAUAGGGCCUCUGCCUGCCUCUCUGGCCUUACCUUCCACCACUCUCGUCCUGACUCACCCACUUCUGCCUCAGAGGCCUCUGCUUCUGGAAGGGAUCAUCACUGACUCAGGACCACAGUUUAUUUUUCUGCUGUUUGAGCAUGACUAUCCCCUGCAGAUAAUGUCAGUUCAUAAACUAAAACACAAAUGAAGGCAGAAGAAAUGAUAUUUACACUGAAGAACCAGGAAAGCACAGGCAUCAAGCAGAUGAGACUUUUCCGCCUUCUCUAUCUGGAGAUCAAGUGAAGACAGAAAAGCUUACUCAACAUCUCAGCCACCUUAUGAAGGUGGGUGGAUUUUCUCCUAGUGCACUGUUUCACUGAAGGAUGUAGCCACCUGAUGUCCUGGUAUCUUGUCUCUAUCUAAUAGUUAUUCUGUACAUACAUGCAUCUGAAGAAAGUUCUCUAAUGGAUUCAUAUUUGCAGUUGCUUUUUAUAUACUACAAAAACCUGUUAAACAUCAAUUACUAAACUACUAGAGGCCUGAUGCAUGAAACUCGUGCAAGAGUAGGCGUUCUUUCCCCUGGCUGCCAGCACUGGCUUCCCUCGCAGCCCCGGCUUUGUCUGGAAGGUCAUCUGGUCUAAUUAGCAUGUGAUGCUUUUAUUAUGGUAUAUGUUUAAAUUUCUAUGUAACCAUAACCUCAAUUUAUAUAAUAAAUUUCUGAUUAAAACGUGA